RNAcentral lists this ribosomal RNA (441 nucleotides) under Ferrisia virgata (striped mealybug). RNAcentral's name for it is "partial large subunit ribosomal RNA". It matches the Rfam family "Eukaryotic large subunit ribosomal RNA", at positions 662 to 948 of the family's 3401-position model. The record is from RNAcentral. Lineage: Eukaryota; Metazoa; Arthropoda; Insecta; Hemiptera; Pseudococcidae.
CGGACCAAGGAGUCUAACGUGCGCGCGAGUCGCGGGGUGUCGAGCGGUUGGCGGCGUUCCUUGUGGGCGUCGUCGGCCGUUCGUUACAAUACGAAACCCGUCUCGUUUUACGAAAGGCGCAAUGAAAGUGAAUUUUUUUGGGGAAGAUGACGUUACCGAGUUCACGUUUCGCGCUCUUGUAGCGCGGCCGGUCGUCCGCAUUCCCAGGGCGUCUCAACGGCCCGGCGGCGUUGCGGAUCGUCGUUCCUUCGGGGGCGGUGGUCGGGCGUCGUCGAACCGAGGCGCACCUAUAGCGUGCACGUUGGUACCCGAAAGAUGGUGAACUAUGCCCGGCCAGGAUGAAGUCAGGGGAAACCCUGAUGGAGGUCCGCAGCGAUUCUGACGUGCAAAUCGAUCGUCUGAGCUGGGUAUAGGGGCGAAAGACUAAUCGAACCAUCUAGU